RNAcentral lists this ribosomal RNA (460 nucleotides) under uncultured bacterium. RNAcentral's name for it is "partial 16S ribosomal RNA". It matches the Rfam family "Bacterial small subunit ribosomal RNA", at positions 338 to 795 of the family's 1533-position model. The record is from RNAcentral.
CCUACGGGUGGCAGCAGUGAGGAAUAUUGGUCAAUGGGCGCGAGCCUGAACCAGCCAAGUAGCGUGAAGGAUGACUGCCCUACGGGUUGUAAACUUCUUUUAUAAAGGAAUAAAGUGAGGCACGUGUGCCUUUUUGUCUGUACUUUAUGAAUAAGGAUCGGCUAACUCCGUGCCAUCAGCCGCGGUAAUACGGAGGAUCCGAGCGUUAUCCGGAUUUAUUGGGUUUAAAGGGAGCGUAGAUGGGUUGUUAAGUCAGUGGUGAAAGUUUGCGGCUCAACCGUAAAAUUGCAAUUGAUACUGGCAGUCUUGAGUACAGUUGAGGUAGGCGGAAUUCGUGGUGUAGCGGUGAAAUGCUUAGAUAUCACGAAGAACUCCGAUUGCGAAGGCAGCUUACUAAACUGCCACUGACAUUGAUGCUCGAAAGUGUGGGUAUCAAACAGGAUUAGAUACCCCUGUAGUC